GCUAAUAAGUCUAUUUUAUA
RNAcentral lists this microRNA (20 nucleotides) under Schistosoma mansoni. RNAcentral describes it as "sma-miR-8427-5p". Lineage: Eukaryota; Metazoa; Platyhelminthes; Trematoda; Strigeidida; Schistosomatidae. The record is from miRBase by way of RNAcentral.